AUCUUCUCACAACCAACCAAGUAAUGUGAUGAAUAAAACAGAGGUGGUGAUCUGGUGACAGGCAAAAGAAAGAAUAUUGUGAAUAAACAUCUUUAUUUACAUGGUUAACUGAACCUGGCAUGAAUUAAAAGCGAUAUGAUAUUAAAUGAAUAUGAAGAAGUGAUUUCUCACUCCAGUUCCUGGAGCAAAGUGCAAGUAUCUGGCUCUCCAUGUUUUGUAGAAUAGCAGAAAGCUAGCAGACCAUGCUUCCAAGGAAAUUGUUCGGGUUCUCUGGAAAAAAGCUAUUACAGGUUCAGAGAAGAAAGAAACCACUUAUGUAGCUAUUUUGAUGUCACCUUCUUGUGUCCUUCCCCAUAUAAACAAGGAGGCAAAUUUUAAUUCUGAAUUAGCCCAUCUAUUUUUGGAUUUCUUCUGUGACAAACUAGGGAUUCUAACAGUUGAACUUCCUCCAUUGCAAACCAUCUUAAUCAUCUGCAGACCAGGUAUCUUAUGA
Junco hyemalis (dark-eyed junco) is the source of this 493-nucleotide long non-coding RNA. The record is from Ensembl. NCBI's taxonomy places the organism in Eukaryota, Metazoa, Chordata, Aves, Passeriformes, Passerellidae.